UCUACGGGAGGCUGCAGUGAGGAAUAUUGGUCAAUGGGCGUAAGCCUGAACCAGCGAAGUCGCGUGAGGGAUGAAGGUUCUAUGGAUCGUAAACCUCUUUUAUAAGGGAGUAAAGUGCGGGACGUGUCCAGUUUUGUAUGUACCUUAUGAGUAAGGAUAGGCUAACGCCGUGCCAGCAGCCGCGGUAAUACGGAGGAUCCGAGCGUUAUCCGGAUUUAAUGGGCUUAAAGGGAGCGUAGGCGGUCUUUUAAGUCAGGGGUGAAAGCCUGUGGCUCAACCAUAGAAUUGCCGUUGAAACUGGGAGGCUGGAGUAUGUGAGAGGAUGGCGGAAUGCGAGGUGUAGCGGUGAAAUGCUUAGAUAUCUGGCAGAACCCCGAUUGCGAAGGCAGCUUGC
Molecule: ribosomal RNA, 394 nt
Filed under: uncultured bacterium
Lineage: Bacteria
Description: partial 16S ribosomal RNA
Rfam family: Bacterial small subunit ribosomal RNA
Source: RNAcentral